UACGGAGGGUGCAAGCGUUAUCCGGAUUCACUGGGUUUAAAGGGUGCGUAGGCGGGCAUGUAAGUCAGUGGUGAAAUCUUCGAGCUUAACUCGGAAACUGCCGUUGAUACUAUAUGUCUUGAAUGUUGUGGAGGUGAGCGGAAUAUGUCAUGUAGCGGUGAAAUGCUUAGAUAUGACAUAGAACACCAAUUGCGAAGGCAGCUUGCUACACAAAUAUUGACGCUGAGGCACGAAAGCGUGGGGAUCAAACAGG
RNAcentral lists this unclassified non-coding RNA (253 nucleotides) under uncultured Chitinophagaceae bacterium. Its description in RNAcentral is "contains 16S-23S intergenic spacer region". It matches the Rfam family "Bacterial small subunit ribosomal RNA", at positions 524 to 776 of the family's 1533-position model. The record is from RNAcentral. Lineage: Bacteria; Pseudomonadati; Bacteroidota; Chitinophagia; Chitinophagales; Chitinophagaceae.